This 224-nucleotide long non-coding RNA is filed under the name Anolis carolinensis (green anole). RNAcentral's name for it is "lncRNA (ENSACAG00000036193.1)". Lineage: Eukaryota; Metazoa; Chordata; Lepidosauria; Squamata; Anolidae. The record is from RNAcentral.
CCCACAUGCUCUGACGUAGAAAAAGGGGCGGAGAAAAAGGAAAAAAGGGGAAAAGCGUCCCCUGCUGCCUUAAGCUUGACGCAUGCGAAGUUUAUCCUUGCCCCGCCCACCCCUAUUUCCCGCCCGCGGAUGGAACAGGCGGGUUUCACUUUUCUUUCGUUGAGCGCGGGGGGGAGGUACCAAUCUGUUUGCGGGGGUGAAGAAGGAGCAGACCUAUCGAUUGU